Long non-coding RNA from Heterocephalus glaber (naked mole-rat), 2900 nucleotides. RefSeq lists it as uncharacterized. Lineage: Eukaryota; Metazoa; Chordata; Mammalia; Rodentia; Bathyergidae. The record is from RefSeq and is a predicted model, not a curated record.
CUCUAUAAAAACCCCGCUAAUUUAAAAUUCUGGGCUCUCAAUUCUGAUCAGCUGCUUCGGUGACGAUUGGGAGCCCCUGCUCGAGCUUGAAUAAACGACCCUCGUGCGUUUGCAUCGGAAUCAGCUCCUUGGUGGUCUUUGGGGACUUCGCGAUCUGGCCACAACAGUUGGAAAGCAGAAGAGAUCAGCAGAGAGACUUACAGUGCACAAGUGGAAGACAUGAGGACUGCUCAUCAGCAAGGCCUGCUGAGUCAUGGCGAUUUUGGAGAUCACUCUGCAGAAAUACAGCAUUGUGUCUCCAUGUGAAGGCCAAAUCAGCAUUCCUGAAAGUUCCCAAUCUGCAGACAUACCUGGAUGCCCCUGGGAACCAGCUGGCUUCCUCACACUCAGCGAAGCUAGCCCACACACUUGACCGCUCUCAUGGAGGGUAUCCCAGGAGGGCCAGACACAGAUCACAGCUGACUUAUGCUGGGACACGUAAGGGCCAUUCUCAUAGCAUCCCACAGGCCAUACAGUGGGUGUGGCCCACAGAUGUUUGUUUGCCUGUUGGUUGGUUCCCCACACACACACACACCCCAUCCCACCCCCGUACUGGGGAUCCAACUCAGACCUUCCAUUUGCAAGGCAGGCAGGGUGCCACUGAGCUAAAUUCAUUUUUUCUUUUUUUGACAGAAAUGUCUUUUUAAAAUUGAGCUUGCAGCAGUGCAGUUAAAGCUUACCUGGCCCCACCUCAUAUUCUCAUAUUCAUGUUACCUGGCUAUCCCUUGCGCUCCCUAUUUUACUGUUAUUAUAUAGAUUCUAAAUUUUAAAGUAUUAAAUUGGUCUCCCCCUCCUUCUAUUUUCCUUUUCUGAUGCUGGAGAUUGAACCUUAGGCCUUGAGCAUGCUAAGUAUGCACUCCAACACUGAGCUUCAUCUCUAGCCCUAGAGUAUUCAAUUGGUUCAUUUCCUUCCCUCUCUCCCUCCCUCCUUUCCUGUUCAUUCUUUUUGUGAUGCUGCAAAUUAAACACAGGACACUCCACAUUCAAGGGAAGUACUCUACCAUUGAGUUAUAGCCCCGGCCCUUAAAUUGGUUCUUGAUGCUAAUCAAAAUGUAUUUUUGAUUCCCUGAGGCCAUAAGUAGAAGCAGUCAUUCUCUUGGUCUAAAGAAGAGAGCCUGGGCUAGUUUAAGGCCUGAGGAAAAGCCCUGCCAGCUGGAAACUUUCCAUUCAUGGACUUGAAGAACAACCCUGGGAAUUCCUUGACCCGAAGGUUCCGAGUGUGUGUUGGGGGGUGUUUCCUGAGUUUUGCAAUCCUUCCCAUCUAUAAAUGUCUUUUCAAACUAUUAUAAAGUUUUUCAUUCCAUCUCCCAUAUCCUCUAAAAUUAUCAUGAUUCCAUUAAAAGAUUUAAAACAUUUUCUUAUCUUUUUCUGUGCUGUUGGAUUUAGUUCAUGGCCAAAUUUUCAAUAUUUCUCAAUAACAAUAUCAAAAUACCUUCAUUCUUUUCAUACUGAGAACUAUUGUUUUAGGAGGGACACAAGAAUGUCACAACAGUUCAUUUACCAUCUGUAGAAGUUAACUUCUCUGAGCCUCAGUUUCCUCAAAUAUGAAAGGUACAACCUACUUACUUCAUAGCCUACCCAGGAGCUGACUGGGUUAGUGGGUAAGGAGUGCCUCAGUUGAGUGGAGAGCUCACAGAUACAGCAAUCAUCAUAGUCACCCUAAUGUCAUGAGCACUACCAGCACAGCCCUCACCACUAUCACUGCAGCGUUAAGCAAGACCAAUUGAUCAAAGACCACAAUGGUGUUAUUGUCCUAUCUGUACCCAACAAACUACUCUGAAAGAAGAUAUAUUGUUUUGUACAGAUUUGAUGAAUAGAAGUCACACUUUCAGAGGCCAUUUGUCACUGUCCAUGGCAGACAGACAACAGUCCAAGCCUUGGGUAUGUCCAAGUAGCAUGUAAAUAGUGAUCAGAUAUCCUGGAACCUAUAGGCCUUUGCACUGGAGCCUGGAAAUGAGUCCACCUAGCCGCUUCCCCACAUUCCCACUGGGUUUGUGUGGCGAACAACUGCAGGUGGAAACUGAUGUGCCUCUGAGACACAGGCUUCACCUGCAACUCUGAUGCCUAUCCCCAAAAUCUGUGUCCUCUGAUCUUGGGGUCACAGAAGAAGUGGCUGGUGAACUGGAGGCAUAAGCCCAGCAAAAGCAUAACUGAUAGAUGAGAAGGAGUUCUGGGGAAAUAUCUGCACUAUGGGAAGAGAGAAGUGGAGAGAGAGGUGCCAUGGAAUAAUUUUGCUUUAUGGGCAUCAAGCAGAGUGAGCUGGGAGGAAAUGGGAAGGUAGGUGAAGAGCUGAGCAUUCACUGAUGUGCUCCUUCAUUCAUGGCUCCACCAAGAGCAAAGGUGGAAGACAGAAUGUGGAACUAAAGGGCUUUGGCCCCACUGGCAGUUCCCUUGCAGUCCUGUGGCUGCCUGAGGACAGAGGGCCUGGCAGUGGAGUUGAAAGGCUAUGCAUCAUUAAGGGUUCCCCUCCCCUGCUGGAGGCCUCCAGAGCUGACAGGUGAGGGAGGGGCAAGAAAGUGGCCAGAGGUUUGGCGUCCUUGAGUGUUGUCUGGACUCACUGCACAACCAAGCCACCAAGGGAUGACACAGGCAGAUUCGGGGACUUGGGCUGAAGGGUGGUGCCUUCCCUGAGUGUGCCCACCACUGCUGAGAAGGAGAGGAGGGAAGGCCUAGGAUUCGGAACUGAAAUGCAGUGCUGCCUGACUCUGCAGGGACAUCACCACUGAUUCACUCAGCCAGCUUGACUCCCAUGGUGAACUCUGCUUACCAGCUGGUCAGCUCCUGAAACUGGCUCACUGUCAAGGACGUUUAAGGACAGUCAAACCCAGUAAUCUGGAUGUUUAAAAAACUUGAAAUUUUAA